UUAAGUUAUUAAGGGCGCACGGUGGAUGCCUUGGCACUAGAAGCCGAUGAAGGACGUUACUAACGACGAUAUGCUUUGGGGAGCUGUAAGUAAGCUUUGAUCCAGAGAUUUCCGAAUGGGGAAACCCAGCAUGAGUUAUGUCAUGUUAUCGAUAUGUGAAUACAUAGCAUAUCAGAAGGCACACCCGGAGAACUGAAACAUCUUAGUACCCGGAGGAAGAGAAAGAAAAUUCGAUUCCCUUAGUAGCGGCGAGCGAAACGGGAAGAGCCCAAACCAACAAGCUUGCUUGUUGGGGUUGUAGGACACUCUAUACGGAGUUACAAAGGACGACAUUAGACGAAUCAUCUGGAAAGAUGAAUCAAAGAAGGUAAUAAUCCUGUAGUCGAAAAUGUUGUCUCUCUUGAGUGGAUCCUGAGUACGACGGAGCACGUGAAAUUCCGUCGGAAUCUGGGAGGACCAUCUCCUAAGGCUAAAUACUCUCUAGUGACCGAUAGUGAACCAGUACCGUGAGGGAAAGGUGAAAAGCACCCCGGAAGGGGAGUGAAAUAGAACCUGAAACCGUGUGCUUACAAGUAGUCAGAGCCCGUUAAUGGGUGAUGGCGUGCCUUUUGUAGAAUGAACCGGCGAGUUACGAUUUGAUGCAAGGUUAAGCAGUAAAUGUGGAGCCGUAGCGAAAGCGAGUCUGAAUAGGGCGUUUAGUAUUUGGUCGUAGACCCGAAACCAGGUGAUCUACCCUUGGUCAGGUUGAAGUUCAGGUAACACUGAAUGGAGGACCGAACCGACUUACGUUGAAAAGUGAGCGGAUGAACUGAGGGUAGCGGAGAAAUUCCAAUCGAACCUGGAGAUAGCUGGUUCUCUCCGAAAUAGCUUUAGGGCUAGCCUCAAGUGAUGAUUAUUGGAGGUAGAGCACUGUUUGGACGAGGGGCCCCUCUCGGGUUACCGAAUUCAGACAAACUCCGAAUGCCAAUUAAUUUAACUUGGGAGUCAGAACAUGGGUGAUAAGGUCCGUGUUCGAAAGGGAAACAGCCCAGACCACCAGCUAAGGUCCCAAAAUAUAUGUUAAGUGGAAAAGGAUGUGGCGUUGCCCAGACAACUAGGAUGUUGGCUUAGAAGCAGCCAUCAUUUAAAGAGUGCGUAAUAGCUCACUAGUCGAGUGACACUGCGCCGAAAAUGUACCGGGGCUAAACAUAUUACCGAAGCUGUGGAUUGUCCUUUGGACAAUGGUAGGAGAGCGUUCUAAGGGCGUUGAAGCAUGAUCGUAAGGACAUGUGGAGCGCUUAGAAGUGAGAAUGCCGGUGUGAGUAGCGAAAGACGGGUGAGAAUCCCGUCCACCGAUUGACUAAGGUUUCCAGAGGAAGGCUCGUCCGCUCUGGGUUAGUCGGGUCCUAAGCUGAGGCCGACAGGCGUAGGCGAUGGAUAACAGGUUGAUAUUCCUGUACCACCUAUAAUCGUUUUAAUCGAUGGGGGGACGCAGUAGGAUAGGCGAAGCGUGCGAUUGGAUUGCACGUCUAAGCAGUAAGGCUGAGUAUUAGGCAAAUCCGGUACUCGUUAAGGCUGAGCUGUGAUGGGGAGAAGACAUUGUGUCUUCGAGUCGUUGAUUUCACACUGCCGAGAAAAGCCUCUAGAUAGAAAAUAGGUGCCCGUACCGCAAACCGACACAGGUAGUCAAGAUGAGAAUUCUAAGGUGAGCGAGCGAACUCUCGUUAAGGAACUCGGCAAAAUGACCCCGUAACUUCGGGAGAAGGGGUGCUCUUUAGGGUUAACGCCCAGAAGAGCCGCAGUGAAUAGGCCCAAGCGACUGUUUAUCAAAAACACAGGUCUCUGCUAAACCGUAAGGUGAUGUAUAGGGGCUGACGCCUGCCCGGUGCUGGAAGGUUAAGAGGAGUGGUUAGCUUCUGCGAAGCUACGAAUCGAAGCCCCAGUAAACGGCGGCCGUAACUAUAACGGUCCUAAGGUAGCGAAAUUCCUUGUCGGGUAAGUUCCGACCCGCACGAAAG
RNAcentral lists this ribosomal RNA (1997 nucleotides) under Staphylococcus aureus. RNAcentral's name for it is "bacterial LSU rRNA". It matches the Rfam family "Bacterial large subunit ribosomal RNA", at positions 3 to 1998 of the family's 2925-position model. The record is from RNAcentral. Lineage: Bacteria; Bacillati; Bacillota; Bacilli; Caryophanales; Staphylococcaceae.